CAGGGAAGAGAGGUGGAUCACAAGGAUCUCUUAAAUACCAAGUCUUUCCUUAGUCAGAAUAUUCCUUCUAACGUAAUUUAAUAGCACAAUUAAAUACUACUAUUAUACCCUCAAAUAUUGAAAGAAAAAUAGGACAAAAAGAACAUAAGAGUUUUAACGAGGUUCGGUAAAUUAUACCUACGUCCUCGGGCACUAACACCAGAUGAUAACUUUACUAUCUCCAAAAUAUUACAAACAAAUAGAAUUCCUUAAGAAUUCUCAAAUGGGAGAAGAGAGAAAACUAAGAGAGAAAGAUUGGUUGGGAUGAUGUAAAUGAGAAAUGGUUAGGCCUAUUUAUAGUUGAGGUUCAGGGACUAACUUGCAAAUGGCCUAAAAAAUUAGGGACCAAAAUUGUAAUUAUCCCAUUCAACUUUAAACAACUUGCCUACCAUUUUUUUCUUUCGGUGCCACUUGCAC
Molecule: long non-coding RNA, 456 nt
Filed under: Gossypium barbadense (sea-island cotton)
Lineage: Eukaryota; Viridiplantae; Streptophyta; Magnoliopsida; Malvales; Malvaceae
Description: long non-coding RNA (GBAR_LNC013725)
Source: RNAcentral